GGGAUAACUACUGGAAACGGUAGCUAAUACCGCAUAACGUCGCAAGACCAAAGAGGGGGACCUUCGGGCCUCUUGCCAUCAGAUGUGCCAGAUGGGAUUAGCUAGUAGGUGGGGUAACGGGCUCACCUAGGCGACGAUCCCUAGCUGGUCUGAGAGGAUGACCAGCCACACUGGAACUGAGACACGGUCCAG
Molecule: ribosomal RNA, 192 nt
Filed under: uncultured Enterobacterales bacterium
Lineage: Bacteria; Pseudomonadati; Pseudomonadota; Gammaproteobacteria; Enterobacterales
Description: partial 16S ribosomal RNA
Rfam family: Bacterial small subunit ribosomal RNA
Source: RNAcentral